AUUGAACGCUGGCGGCAGGCCUAACACAUGCAAGUCGAGCGGAUGAAGGGAGCUUGCUCCUGGAUUCAGCGGCGGACGGGUGAGUAAUGCCUAGGAAUCUGCCUGGUAGUGGGGGAUAACGUCCGGAAACGGGCGCUAAUACCGCAUACGUCCUGAGGGAGAAAGUGGGGGAUCUUCGGACCUCACGCUAUCAGAUGAGCCUAGGUCGGAUUAGCUAGUUGGUGGGGUAAAGGCCUACCAAGGCGACGAUCCGUAACUGGUCUGAGAGGAUGAUCAGUCACACUGGAACUGAGACACGGUCCAGACUCCUACGGGAGGCAGCAGUGGGGAAUAUUGGACAAUGGGCGAAAGCCUGAUCCAGCCAUGCCGCGUGUGUGAAGAAGGUCUUCGGAUUGUAAAGCACUUUAAGUUGGGAGGAAGGGCGGUAAGUUAAUACCUUGCUGUUUUGACGUUACCAACAGAAUAAGCACCGGCUAACUUCGU
RNAcentral lists this ribosomal RNA (483 nucleotides) under uncultured bacterium. RNAcentral's name for it is "partial 16S ribosomal RNA". It matches the Rfam family "Bacterial small subunit ribosomal RNA", at positions 30 to 506 of the family's 1533-position model. The record is from RNAcentral.